This 497-nucleotide ribosomal RNA is filed under the name uncultured bacterium. RNAcentral describes it as "partial 16S ribosomal RNA". It matches the Rfam family "Bacterial small subunit ribosomal RNA", at positions 28 to 507 of the family's 1533-position model. The record is from RNAcentral.
GAUGAACGCUGGCGGCGUGCCUAAUACAUGCAAGUCGAACGCUCAUUUCCUCCGCUUGCCUUUCUCUCGUUUGCGGCGGGCGGUGGCGUAACACUUAGAUACCCUUCCUUAACCUCCCCGUUAGCUUCGGGAAACCGUAGCUAACACCUGCUAAUAUCUUAAACCGCAUUGUUCAAUAUUGCAUGACGGUUUUGCUGUCUCUUAUAUAUGGAUCCGCGCCGCAUUAGCUAGUUGGUAAGGUAACGGCUUACCAAGGCAACGAUGCGUAGCCGACCUGAGAGGGUGAUCGGCCACACUGGAACUGAGACACGGUCCAGACUCCUACGGGAGGCAGCAGUAGGGAAUCUUCGGCAAUGGGCGAAAGCCUGACGGAGCAACGCCGCGUGAGUGAAGAAGGUCUUCGGAUCGUAAAACUCUGUUAUUAGAGAAGAACAAAUAUGUAAGUAACUAAGCACGUCUUGACGGUACCUAAUCAGAAAGCCACGGCUAACUACGUG